RNAcentral lists this ribosomal RNA (746 nucleotides) under uncultured Staphylococcus sp. RNAcentral's name for it is "bacterial SSU rRNA". It matches the Rfam family "Bacterial small subunit ribosomal RNA", at positions 42 to 770 of the family's 1533-position model. The record is from RNAcentral. Lineage: Bacteria; Bacillati; Bacillota; Bacilli; Caryophanales; Staphylococcaceae.
GCGUGCCUAAUACAUGCAAGUCGAGCGAACGGACGAGAAGCUUGCUUCUCUGAUGUUAGCGGCGGACGGGUGAGUAACACGUGGAUAACCUACCUAUAAGACUGGGAUAACUUCGGGAAACCGGAGCUAAUACCGGAUAAUAUUUUGAACCGCAUGGUUCAAAAGUGAAAGACGGUCUUGCUGUCACUUAUAGAUGGAUCCGCGCUGCAUUAGCUAGUUGGUAAGGUAACGGCUUACCAAGGCAACGAUGCAUAGCCGACCUGAGAGGGUGAUCGGCCACACUGGAACUGAGACACGGUCCAGACUCCUACGGGAGGCAGCAGUAGGGAAUCUUCCGCAAUGGGCGAAAGCCUGACGGAGCAACGCCGCGUGAGUGAUGAAGGUCUUCGGAUCGUAAAACUCUGUUAUUAGGGAAGAACAUAUGUGUAAGUAACUGUGCACAUCUUGACGGUACCUAAUCAGAAAGCCACGGCUAACUACGUGCCAGCAGCCGCGGUAAUACGUAGGUGGCAAGCGUUAUCCGGAAUUAUUGGGCGUAAAGCGCGCGUAGGCGGUUUUUUAAGUCUGAUGUGAAAGCCCACGGCUCAACCGUGGAGGGUCAUUGGAAGCUGGAAAACUUGAGUGCAGAAGAGGAAAGUGGAAUUCCAUGUGUAGCGGUGAAAUGCGCAGAGAUAUGGAGGAACACCAGUGGCGAAGGCGACUUUCUGGUCUGUAACUGACGCUGAUGUGCGAAAGCGUGGGGAUCA